Molecule: unclassified non-coding RNA, 21 nt
Filed under: Mus musculus (house mouse)
Lineage: Eukaryota; Metazoa; Chordata; Mammalia; Rodentia; Muridae
Description: oocyte_clustered_small_RNA4685
Source: RNAcentral
CUGCCUUCCACAGGAUGCCAA